Small nucleolar RNA from Echinops telfairi (small Madagascar hedgehog), 133 nucleotides. Ensembl annotates it as small nucleolar RNA, H/ACA box 49. Its record names the gene SNORA49. The record is from Ensembl. Lineage: Eukaryota; Metazoa; Chordata; Mammalia; Afrosoricida; Tenrecidae.
CUUCCUCAGCCUUACUCCUGGGCCUUCUCGCUGUGGAGUGCCCUGGCAUUGCCUGAGGAUAGAUAAGAAAGCCCGUGUCCCUCCCCAGGAAGAACCCACUUUUCUUCUGGGGCCUACACAUUGAGCUAACAGU